UACGUAGGUGGCGAGCGUUGUCCGGAUUUACUGGGCGUAAAGGGAGCGUAGGCGGACUUUUAAGUGAGAUGUGAAAUACCCGGGCUUAACUUGGGUGCUGCAUUUCAAACUGGAAGUCUAGAGUGCAGGAGAGGAGAAUGGAAUUCCUAGUGUAGCGGUGAAAUGCGUAGAUAUUAGGAGGAACACCAGUAGCGAAGGCGGCUCUCUGGACUGUAACUGACGCUGAGGCACGAAAGCGUGGGGAGCAAACAGGAUUAGAUACCCCGGUAGU
RNAcentral lists this ribosomal RNA (271 nucleotides) under uncultured prokaryote. RNAcentral's name for it is "partial 16S ribosomal RNA". It matches the Rfam family "Bacterial small subunit ribosomal RNA", at positions 524 to 794 of the family's 1533-position model. The record is from RNAcentral.